UAUAUUUUAGCUAUUAAAAACAUGAGAAGCAAAUGAAUACAAUCCUCCUCAUUCAGAAGAUGUAACUGUUCGACAUAUCCCACCUCCCACUCCCCAACCACUCCUAAAGCCUUUUCUUUUCCCAAUUCUCCCUUUCAUUUCCUUCCCUUGUUUCUGCUUCUGCUGCAGGAUUUGUGUCUGGAACGGAUCCCUGAGGCAGGUCAGUGUUUUCCUGAAUCCAGUCAAAGGCAGCAGCCAAGGUGGAUGAUGGAGGACAGCGAAGGAAAGUCUCCCUCAAUGAGAGAGGGAACAAGGAUUGGGUCUGCAAGUAGAAGUAUAAGAGCAUCUCUUCCUCAAGAGGAACUCAGAAUAGCAUCUGCAGGAGUACAUCAGGUGACUUUUGAGGAGGU
Molecule: non-coding RNA, 389 nt
Organism: Anolis sagrei ordinatus
Lineage: Eukaryota; Metazoa; Chordata; Lepidosauria; Squamata; Anolidae
Source: RefSeq, a predicted model, not a curated record